UUUCCUUAUCCCCUCACUCGUCUUCUUCCCAUGUGGCUCUCUCAAAUAAAUUCUCGCCGGUGAUGACCGCCGUCGAUGUCGGGAGCAGCCGUCGUCCACCAGCCCCCGCUGCUCCGGUGAGUGGCCGCCAUCCACCCCGCCCCGCGCUGCUCCGGCGGGCAUCCACCCACCCACCACCACAGCCGUGCGGCAACCCAGCUUGCGGCGCGGAGUGGGGUGCUUCAACCGGCGGCGAUCAUGCUACAACGGCGGCGAGCGGGAGUGGCAGCCGGUGGCGACCGAGGAUGACCGCAGGCUGCCAUCGGGUGCUGCACCGACAAGCAAUUUUGCUGGAAGCACGGCAACAAGUGUGAGAGAUCCGGCCAUGGAGUUGAUUUGCUGGGAUGGUGGACGGCGAUGGUGGCGGAGCUGCAACGGCGGUUGGUGGUGGGGAUGCGAUCGUGUGCCCCCGUGCUGCAACCACGGGGCGGUUGGGAGUUCCAACGACGACCUCGGGCAUGACGGCGGUGAUCUCGCGCGCGACGACGACGACUUGUUUGCGGCGCGCUGGCACGAGACACCGACGGCAAGCGCAGGUCACGGGACGGCCGACGAGCGUAUUGCUGUGCGGCCGUGCGGGAGGCUGGGAGUGCGGAUGAAGACGACCAGAUGCGCUCGGUCGCGUUGGGCUCUAUCCUCUUUUUUUGGGAGAGAUAAACGCAAGAUCGUACGGUCUGAAAGGGAUGUAUCGUGUGGUAGGGCAGCGACCGGCCCAAAUUUAGGCCGGUGCGCCGGCGCCUAUCAUUCCCCUUAGUUUAUAGAGCCAACUCUUAGUUUCAAAAGAAGAUUGAACUUUUCUUUCUUGUACAAGUUUUAGUUUCAAAAAAAAAAACGAACAACCUUUUCUUUCUUGAAAAAAGUCUCUGCGGUGGUAUUCUAAAACAGAAAGUCUCUGUGGUGAUCGUUUGAUUUUUUUUUCAGUGAUCGUUUGAUUCGGAAGGUAAUCUUUGAAGAUGUGCAUGUACUAUAUGGUAGUCUUCGGGUGGCACGUUACCAUGAUGUCCGGAUGUGAAGACUACCAUAUAGAUCAUGCACGUCUUCAGAAGUUGCUACGGGAGCUCUCCUCCUCAACUGGCCUCCAGCUCUUGUUGUUUUUUUAGAGAAAACUUUUGAUAUACUAGGAAAAUUGCCCGUGCGUUGCAACGGGAAAUACAUUGUGAGAAGGUAAAGAAAAACAUGAAGAGACAA
Molecule: long non-coding RNA, 1227 nt
Organism: Triticum dicoccoides
Lineage: Eukaryota; Viridiplantae; Streptophyta; Magnoliopsida; Poales; Poaceae
Exons: 2
Source: RefSeq, a predicted model, not a curated record